RNAcentral lists this transfer RNA (57 nucleotides) under Ictidomys tridecemlineatus (thirteen-lined ground squirrel). RNAcentral describes it as "Spermophilus tridecemlineatus (thirteen-lined ground squirrel) tRNA". It matches the Rfam family "tRNA", at positions 8 to 63 of the family's 71-position model. From Rfam's summary of the family: Transfer RNA (tRNA) molecules are approximately 80 nucleotides in length. Their secondary structure includes four short double-helical elements and three loops (D, anti-codon, and T loops). Further hydrogen bonds mediate the characteristic L-shaped molecular structure. tRNAs have two regions of fundamental functional importance: the anti-codon, which is responsible for specific mRNA codon recognition, and the 3' end, to which the tRNAs corresponding amino acid is attached (by aminoacyl-tRNA synthetases). tRNAs cope with the degeneracy of the genetic code in two manners: having more than one tRNA (with a specific anti-codon) for a particular amino acid; and 'wobble' base-pairing, i.e. permitting non-standard base-pairing at the 3rd anti-codon position. The record is from Rfam by way of RNAcentral. RNAcentral also lists the same sequence under 1 other name. Lineage: Eukaryota; Metazoa; Chordata; Mammalia; Rodentia; Sciuridae.
UAGCUCAGUGGUAGAGCACUUGCUUGGCAUGUGUGAGGCCUGGGGUUCAAUUCCCAG